AGAUUGAACGCUGGCGGCAGGCCUAACACAUGCAAGUCGAGCGGUAGAGAGGUGCUUGCACCUCUUGAGAGCGGCGGACGGGUGAGUAAUGCCUAGGAAUCUGCCUAGUGGUGGGGGAUAACGUUCGGAAACGGACGCUAAUACCGCAUACGUCCUACGGGAGAAAGGCGGGGACCUUCGGGCCUCGCGCCAUUAGAUGAGCCUAGGUCGGAUUAGCUAGUUGGUGAGGUAAUGGCUCACCAAGGCGACGAUCCGUAACUGGUCUGAGAGGGAUGAUCAGUCACACUGGAACUGAGACACGGUCCAGACU
Molecule: ribosomal RNA, 310 nt
Filed under: uncultured soil bacterium
Lineage: Bacteria
Description: bacterial SSU rRNA
Rfam family: Bacterial small subunit ribosomal RNA
Source: RNAcentral